Molecule: ribosomal RNA, 405 nt
Filed under: uncultured Acidiphilium sp.
Lineage: Bacteria; Pseudomonadati; Pseudomonadota; Alphaproteobacteria; Acetobacterales; Acidocellaceae
Description: bacterial SSU rRNA
Rfam family: Bacterial small subunit ribosomal RNA
Source: RNAcentral
GUGGGGAAUAUUGGACAAUGGGCGAAAGCCUGAUCCAGCAAUGCCGCGUGUGUGAAGAAGGUCUUAGGAUUGUAAAGCACUUUCGGCGGGGACGAUGAUGACGGUACCCGCAGAAGAAGCCCCGGCUAACUUCGUGCCAGCAGCCGCGGUAAUACGAAGGGGGCUAGCGUUGCUCGGAAUGACUGGGCGUAAAGGGCGCGUAGGCGGUCUGGUCAGUCAGGCGUGAAAUUCCUGGGCUCAACCUGGGGACGGCGCUUGAGACGGCUGGGCUUGAGUGGGGAAGAGGGUCGUGGAAUUCCCAGUGUAGAGGUGAAAUUCGUAGAUAUUGGGAAGAACACCGGUGGCGAAGGCGGCGACCUGGUCCUUGACUGACGCUGAGGCGCGAAAGCGUGGGGAGCAAACAGG